RNAcentral lists this ribosomal RNA (370 nucleotides) under uncultured organism. RNAcentral's name for it is "partial 16S ribosomal RNA". It matches the Rfam family "Bacterial small subunit ribosomal RNA", at positions 527 to 896 of the family's 1533-position model. The record is from RNAcentral.
GUAGGUGGCAAGCGUUGUCCGGAAUUAUUGGGCGUAAAGCGCGCGCAGGUGGUUCUUUAAGUCUGAUGUGAAAGCCCCCGGCUCAACCGAGAGGGUCAUUGGAAACUGGGGAACUUGAGUGCAGGAGAGGAAAGUGGAAUUCCACGUGUAGCGGUGAAAUGCGUAGAUAUGUGGAGGAACACCAGUGGCGAAGGCGACUUUCUGGCCUGUAACUGACACUGAGGCGCGAAAGCGUGGGGAGCAAACAGGGAUUAGAUACCCUGGUAGUCCACGCCGUAAACGAUGAGUGCUAAUGUUGGGGGGGUUUCCGCCCCCUCAGUGCUGCAGCUAACGCAUUAAGCACUCCGCCUGGGAUACGGUCGCAAGACUG